GCCUCUGUAGCUCAGUUGGUUAGAGCGCUGCACCGGAAUCGCAGGGCCGUAGGUUCAAAUCCUACCAGAGAAC
RNAcentral lists this transfer RNA (73 nucleotides) under Paramuricea clavata. RNAcentral describes it as "tRNA-Ser". It matches the Rfam family "tRNA". From Rfam's summary of the family: Transfer RNA (tRNA) molecules are approximately 80 nucleotides in length. Their secondary structure includes four short double-helical elements and three loops (D, anti-codon, and T loops). Lineage: Eukaryota; Metazoa; Cnidaria; Anthozoa; Malacalcyonacea; Plexauridae. The record is from RNAcentral.